RNAcentral lists this ribosomal RNA (427 nucleotides) under uncultured bacterium. RNAcentral describes it as "bacterial SSU rRNA". It matches the Rfam family "Bacterial small subunit ribosomal RNA", at positions 355 to 774 of the family's 1533-position model. RNAcentral also lists the same sequence under 1 other name. The record is from RNAcentral.
UCGAGAAUCAUUCGCAAUGGGCGAAAGCCUGACGAUGCGACGCCGUGUGAGCGAUGAAGGCCUUAGGGUCGUAAAGCUCUUUCGCUUGGGAACAAGAGAAGUUGGCUAAUAUCCAGCAAAUUUGAGGGUACCAGGUAAAGAAGCACCGGCUAACUCCGUGCCAGCAGCUGCGGUAAUACGGAGGGUGCAAGCAUUAAUCGGAUUUAUUGGGCGUAAAGGGCGCGUAGGCGGGGAGAUAAGUCAGAUGUGAAAUCCCGGGGCUCAACCUCGGAACAGCAUUUGAAACUGUCUUUCUAGAGGAUAGAUGGAGAAAACGGAAUUCCACAAGUAGCGGUGAAAUGCGUAGAUAUGUGGAAGAACACCGGUGGCGAAGGCGGUUUUCUAAUUUAGACCUGACGCUGAGGCGCGAAAGCAAGGGGAUCAAACA